UCCUGGCCUUGGGCCAGGCCGUGCUCUCUGCCGGGAGACCCACCCAGCCCACGCCUCCUUCUCCUCCAUGUACCACCUCUUGGAAGACCAUCCUGAUGGCUCCCUCCCUUGCCUGGGUGGUUUAGGGGCCCUUCACUCGCUCACCACGGGGGAACAUGACUGCAUGUAGCGGUCCGUUUCCGCGCUCACCUGCUGGCUUCCCCACCAGGCGGGAACCCCUGGGCGGCCCGAGCCUGGAAUCGCUCGCUCUUGUACCUCAGAGCGUGGAGCCUUGGCCAGAUGAACGAGUCCAGAUAGAAAAAUAAGAUGAGCACGUGUUGCCCGAAUGGGAUUCGCCAUCUCGCUUCUCGGAGAAGUUACUGAUUGGGGCUGAAAGGGCCACUUGGGCACCUAGAGACGGCUCUUCAAGCAGUGACCGCAGCGUACUCGCAAACCUCGGGAAGGCCGUUGAAGGUUGGCGGGGUCUGGGACCACGGCCCUGGGUGCCACAGCAGUGCCCGAGCAGAGCGGGCUCGGUCCCUGUCACGAAGGCAGAGAAGCUGCUUCUCUGGGCUCACGAGGCAGCUGUCCCAUGCUCUGCUGAGCACGGUAAGUGCCCGCUCGCCUGGCCUGCCCGACAGCCGGGGGCAGUUCCGGGGCAGGACCUGAGCUCCGAACCAGAGCUCGGGUAGGGUGGGGGCUCGGGAUCGAGGUGGUGGCCUUAUUCCGCAGUCUCUUCCUGAUCCUGCCCUCCCCAUCAGGUCUGCCAGCAGCUGCUGGCGUGGAGAGGGUGGGGUUUCUUAGUAUGAGAAAAAUCAGAAAAAUCGGGAGCAUUCCCCUAAAAAUCAUGCUACCCCUCCUUUCAUACAAGGCAUGGGGAGGUGAAGGGAUUCUCUCGGAGCAGAGCUGGGUCAGGGCCGGGCGAUUCCAGAACGGGGAGCAGGUGCAAGACACCUCUGAGGCUGUGGGUCCAUAAAAAUACUAUCUCCAGAGCUGCGUUCUUUUUUUUGCUUUCCCCUCACUUUGUUUACUUACUUAGGUUUAUUUAUUUGAGAGUGCAAUCAGGGGAGGAGCAGAGAGAGGGAGAGAGAGAGAAUUCCAAGCUGACAGACUCUAAGCUGUCAGCACAGAGCCCGCCGCAGGGCUCAAAUUCACCAACCGUGAGAUCCUGACCUGAGCCGAGAUCAAGAGCCGGGAGCUUCCCGGGCUGAGCCACCCGGGCGCCCCUCCAAAGCUGCGUUCUCCCCACUUUUGCUUUUUAUAAAGUUGAGACAAUGACGCUGGUCCAUUCUGAAUCAUGAAAAUACUAGAAUUAGGAGACUAAUAUUGCUAGCAAAAGAGAAAAUCAUCAUAAGAAUUAGAAUACUCUUAGUAAUCUGUAUUUGGGGUGUUUUAGGGGCAUAAAGGAGGAUGGGGGGUAGUCCCUAAAGCUGUGGUCCCCGACACGUGUGCACACACGCACUUGCACACCACAGACAAUGAUCUAGGGCUCCAGGCGCAUGGACUUCUCUUCCUUCCCUCCUGGACCCUCUUGUUUUCCUCCUCUCCCAUCUCUCACUUCGAGCCCCUCAAGCCCAGGUCUCUCAGGGGGCAAGGGGCCCAUGAGGUGACCCCCCCCCAUAGCCCAAACCCCUUGGUGGCUUCCUUUGGGGCUUGCCUGGCCACACCCAAAAUGGUAGCGGCCGUCCUCACCAGCAGCCAGGGGAGAGGGAAACCCGGAUAGCGGAAGGGGCCGGGCUGUCAGUGAGCGCCUCCAGGGAAGGCCAGGCGGGAGCAAGGCCUGCGGAGGGGCCUGGGAGUCGUCCAGGAAUGCUGUGCCCCCUUUUUGCAGAUGGGAAGCCCUCGGAGGGGACAAGCAGCUGCCCGCGGUGGCCUGGCUAGGAGGUGGCCGGGCUUGGACCUGCUGCGGCCCCAUCUGGCGGCAGGACCCUCGCGGAGCUCACAGCGACCCUGGCCCCGGCUUCUCAGUCUCCUUUGCUGGGCUUGAGCAAGAAGAUGGGGUGGAGGGGCACGAGACUCAGGCUAGAAGGAGGUAGGAUGACCAGAGUGUCUGUGUGUCCAUCUGCCUGUCUCCACACUUCUUCAGACAGUCAUCACUUGUUAAAUUAAAACCAGGGGUAGCUCUCUUUGAGUUCAUGUGUAUAAAAUAGCUUACCUCCUCUGGACCAGGUAGCCAAUUCGGGGUCCCUAAGGUGAAAGUUAGUGGGUUUUUUUUUGGGUAGAUGGGCCAAACCCCCGAAUCCUAGCCAUCACUGUGGCUUAUGUUCCUAAAAAGCCUAUGGAACAGUAAACCGGUGUGUCUGCAGGGUUCAAAUGUAGGGGGACGCCUGGGUGGCUCGGUCGGUUGAGCAUCUGACUCUUGAUCUCAACUCAGGUCUUGAUCUCAGGGUCGUGAGUUCAAACCUCCUGCCCUCCCUACCCCUUGGGCUUUAGGCUGUGUGG
Long non-coding RNA from Suricata suricatta (meerkat), 2421 nucleotides. Lineage: Eukaryota; Metazoa; Chordata; Mammalia; Carnivora; Herpestidae. The record is from Ensembl.